ACGGGAGGCAGCAGUGGGGAAUUUUGGACAAUGGGCGCAAGCCUGAUCCAGCAAUGCCGCGUGAGUGAAGAAGGCCUUCGGGUUGUAAAGCUCUUUUGUCAGGGAAGAAACGGUGCGGGCUAAUAUCCUGUGCUAAUGACGGUACCUGAAGAAUAAGCACCGGCUAACUACGUGCCAGCAGCCGCGGUAAUACGUAGGGUGCAAGCGUUAAUCGGAAUUACUGGGCGUAAAGCGUGCGCAGGCGGUUUUGUAAGUUUGUCGUGAAAGCCCCGGGCUCAACCUGGGAAUUGCGAUGAAGACUGCAAGGCUUGAAUCUGGCAGAGGGGGGUAGAAUUCCACGUGUAGCAGUGAAAUGCGUAGAGAUGUGGAGGAACACCGAUGGCGAAGGCAGCCCCCUGGGUCAAGAUUGACGCUCAUGCACGAAAGCGUGGGGAGCAAACAGGAUUAGAUACCCUGGUAGUCCACGCCCUAAACGAUGUCUACUAGUUGUCGGGUUUUAAUUAACUUGGUAACGCAGCUAACGCGUGAAGUAGACCGCCUGGGGAGUACGGUCGCAAGAUUAAAACUCAAAGGAAUUGACGGGGACCCGCACAAGCGGUGGAUGAUGUGGAUUAAUUCGAUGCAACGCGAAAAACCUUACCUACCCUUGACAUGUACGGAAGGCCGGAGAGAUCUGGCUGUGCUCGAAAGAGAACCGUAACACAGGUGCUGCA
RNAcentral lists this ribosomal RNA (713 nucleotides) under Massilia sp. RNAcentral describes it as "bacterial SSU rRNA". It matches the Rfam family "Bacterial small subunit ribosomal RNA", at positions 341 to 1045 of the family's 1533-position model. The record is from RNAcentral. Lineage: Bacteria; Pseudomonadati; Pseudomonadota; Betaproteobacteria; Burkholderiales; Oxalobacteraceae.